UAGCUGACAAGGUCCCCGGUUGGCCUGGAUGGUGUUGGUGGCGUUUUCCCCCCUCCGUGGUGCUGUGCCCCUGUGCCUGGAGCCUGCCGUGCCCAAGCGCUGCCCGAGCCGGCCCGGCCCGACCCGGUUGCCCGCGCUUUUGUGCUGAGGGCGGGGGGGGGGCGGCUCCCGGGGCCGCCGCGCUGAGGCGGAGCUGCCUCUGAGGCGCAGCUGCGGCGCUUCCCUGCCGAGGCCGCGGCGCCUCUGCUGGCGCUGCUGGGGGGCUUUUGGGCUUUGGCCGCCGUUCCCAAAGCUCCCCUCGGCUUCUUUGGGACGGGGGUCCCUCCCGGUGCUGCCACGCUCAGGUGGAGCUGCCGCUCGUCAGGGGCUCAAGGCUCCCCUGCGUCUGGGCCGGCGACAGGUCCCGUGAAUAGACACGGCCCUGCUGCAGUAACAACGGCCCCGCUGCAAUCAGCAGGGUAGAGGACAGGGCUGAAGGAGAGCCUUACUCUCGAGGUGGGCACUUCCCUCUCAUCCCUGACACCAUGGAGACAGCCUGGAAGCAACAAGAGGAAGGCUCCAGGCUCCUCAAUAAGCCAGGGAGCCCUGAGGGCCCAGAUGUUUUGCUGGUUCCAGGAGAGGUCUUUGAAAUCGUGGUCCAUCAUCCCCUGGUGCCAGACAACGGUCCGGUGGGUGAGGGAAUGGGACCGCAACACUGCACAAAUGAGCUCAACAAGGCAGAAGGUUGCGGUGCAAUGGCAAUUUAUUGAGGCAGAGCAGGGACUUACAUAGAGUCUGGGGUCAGAAGGGCUUGAAACAACAGGGGAGGAGCAUGAGAUUGACACCCCAGGGCAUAACAGGAUAGGAGAACUCGGGAAGGGAGGAGGAGCGUGGGAGGAGUCGGGCAUUAGGGCCCAAUGGGGACUCACCCGCACUGCAGCACUGCUCAGCCCAUCAGUGCGGGAUGAGCGGGAAAAUGAGGGAGCGAACGACUUAUGGCAGGAAAACAGCUCUGGGCAAGCCUGGCCAUGCCCCGGGCUAUCCAGGAAAAUGGGGUUAAUACAGUCAUAUGAGGAAAACACAGCAAACAGUGUUUAAAACUGGAUAUAAACAAGCAAGUCCAUAAGAUAGAGUCCUGUCAUGCGCCAUAAAUUUCUCUCCAGGCUUUAAAACAUUCCCAGUCAGACUCUGGCUCCUCAGCACAAGAUGGUCUCCAAGACUGACCCGCUUCUAAGUCUUGCUGCUCAGCAAGAGGCAAGAGAAUGAGGGAGCCUCUGCUUUCAGGGGCCAACGUCUUCUACAAGAGAACAUCUCCAGAUGCACAGCCUUGGAGGAGGGCAAGGAACACAGAGGGGAGAAGAAACCAGAGCCUGUGGAUGACACAACCACAUUGGUGGUGUUGCUGUCUGUCCUCGCCAUCAUUUCUCUGACAGUGAUGUGUGUCCUUACUGUAAAAGCCAGUAUCUUGUUGGAGACACAGCUGUCAGUCAAGCCCUGUAGCUGCAGAGCCCAGUUGAGGUGCCCCAUGCACGUGCCGGGUAGCACAGGAGAUGUUUGGCCAACCCUGGAGCUUGGGGCAGCAUCCACACCCCCAGCUCAGCAGGGUUCAGCCUGCUUGGGGGAACCUUGUCCUGGCAUCCUUCCUGACUCUCCACAGCUUUGCUUUGCUCUCCUGCCUUCAGCCAUGCAGCAGUGGGGUUAGGAGAGCUCUGGGAACUUUCCAGGGUGUGCCCAAGCUCAGUGAAGCCGAGUUGCUGUUCCUUCAAUACACCAGGGAUGUCCUUGUUGCCAAGGAAAAAGCAUUCUGGAAGAAGACACAUUAGGAAGAAGUCAAGUGACGGAGAGAAGCUUUUCAAGAAGGUGACCCAGACAUCAGGAGGAAUUGCUGCAUGGAAGGGCUGUUCAGGCAUUGGCAUGGGCUGCCCAGGGAGUGGGAGUCCCCAUCCCUGGAGGUGGUCAAAGAAGGCCUGGACGUGGCACUCAGUGCUCUGUUCUAGCUGACAAGGUUGUGGUUGGUCCUGAAGCUCAAGCACAAACAAAGAGCACAAGGAGAGAGGGAGCCAGGAUUGGGUUGGACAUAAACAGCUUUUCGAUGAGGUGUUGGGCUCUGUGAAAGCCCAGGGAGCUGAACAGAGCGAUGGAACAGAGUGGGAGCUCUUGGUGGCCCUGGGAACCCCGCGUGACAUUGGAAUUCAGAAAUGUAUAAGAACUGAGAGUAUGUACAAGAUAGAAACUCCCUUUAGCUGAGCCAAGUGAUUGAAGGAAACAAUGAGGAGGGGAACUGAGGCCCCCAGCCAGGCAACACCCAGUUCCUUUUUAAGCAGGUGCAUUUUGGCAAAAUGAUGAGUGAUGCAUCUCAGAGCUGAUUAAAGCCUGCCUGAUUUCUACAA
Pseudopipra pipra is the source of this 2369-nucleotide long non-coding RNA. RefSeq lists it as uncharacterized. The transcript has 2 exons. The record is from RefSeq and is a predicted model, not a curated record. NCBI's taxonomy places the organism in Eukaryota, Metazoa, Chordata, Aves, Passeriformes, Pipridae.